Zeugodacus cucurbitae (melon fly) is the source of this 600-nucleotide long non-coding RNA. RefSeq lists it as uncharacterized. Lineage: Eukaryota; Metazoa; Arthropoda; Insecta; Diptera; Tephritidae. The record is from RefSeq and is a predicted model, not a curated record. The transcript is spliced from 2 exons.
UCAUAUGACAUCGGUUUGCUGGAUUAACAAAGCUAAUAGCUGCCAUCGAUUGGUCACUUCUCUGCUCGCUAUCUUUGGGCGCUGCUCGCCUGUCAAAAAUUUUACAUGUGAAAGCAACAACAAAGAUAUCUAGUUGAAUUCGUGCUGGAGAGUAUGCGAAUACCUCAUUAAAAUUGCAAUCGUCGCUUGCUGUGUGCUACCAAGUUUUGUUUUACACAUUUUAGAACCAUUUUACUAUUGUGAACGGCUCAAAGUACAAAUUACUGUCAAAAUAAUUAAAAUUGUUAUACACAAAUUUGAAAUUGAAAAGGGCAGGCGAAGAUAAAUUAAAACGUUAGACAUAGACGGUGGUUGAAGAGUUCAGUGCGACCAAGUAUAUACAAUUCGAUUUCAGUGCUGCCAGUUUGUAUGGAAAUUAGGAAAGUUUGUUCGAUUGGCUUGUCUAUAGCAGUUAGCCCAUCGAUGACAGCUAAUAUAUGAUCCGCAGGGGUGUUUUUCUACAGAUGCAAUAAAUGUAUUGAAAAUUUUGUUUAUAUAAAAGUUGCAUGAAAAAAAUAUGAAUGAAAAUUAUAAAAAUAAUAUACAUAUAUAAAAUAAUCA